RNAcentral lists this non-coding RNA (23 nucleotides) under Rattus norvegicus (Norway rat). Lineage: Eukaryota; Metazoa; Chordata; Mammalia; Rodentia; Muridae. The record is from RNAcentral.
AAUGGGUGGAGUUCCUCAAGGUC